CUCAGCGUCAGUUACAGACCAGAGAGUCGCCUUCGCCACUGGUGUUCCUCCACAUAUCUACGCAUUUCACCGCUACACGUGGAAUUCCACUCUCCUCUUCUGCACUCCAGUCUUCCAGUUUCCAAAGUUAGUGGCGGACGGGUGAGUAACACGUGGGCAACCUGCCUGUAAGUUGGGGAUAACUCCGGGAAACCGGGGCUAAUACCGAAUGAUAAAGUGUGGCGCAUGCCACGCUUUUGAAAGAUGGUUUCGGCUAUCGCUUACAGAUGGGCCCGCGGUGCAUUAGCUAGUUGGUAGGGUAAUGGCCUACCAAGGCAACGAUGCAUAGCCGACCUGAGAGGGUGAUCGGCCACACUGGGACUGAGACACGGCCCAGACUCCUACGGGAGGCAGCAGUAGGGAAUCUUCCGCAAUGGACGAAAGUCUGACGGAGCAACGCCGCGUGUAUGAAGAAGGUUUUCGGAUCGUAAAGUACUGUUGUUAGAGAAGAACAAGGAUAAGAGUAACUGCUUGUCCCUUGACGGUAUCUAACCAGAAAGCCACGGCUAACUACGUGCCAGCAGCCGCGGUAAUACGUAGGUGGCAAGCGUUGUCCGGAUUUAUUGGGCGUAAAGCGCGCGCAGGCGGUCUUUUAAGUCUGAUGUGAAAGCCCCCGGCUUAACCGGGGAGGGUCAUUGGAAACUGGAAGACUGGAGUGCAGAAGAGGAGAGUGGAAUUCCACGUGUAGCGGUGAAAUGCGUAGAUAUGUGGAGGAACACCAGUGGCGAAGGCGACUCUCUGGUCUGUAACUGACGCUGAG
This 799-nucleotide ribosomal RNA is filed under the name Listeria monocytogenes. RNAcentral describes it as "bacterial SSU rRNA". It matches the Rfam family "Bacterial small subunit ribosomal RNA", at positions 67 to 750 of the family's 1533-position model. Lineage: Bacteria; Bacillati; Bacillota; Bacilli; Caryophanales; Listeriaceae. The record is from RNAcentral.